RNAcentral lists this ribosomal RNA (433 nucleotides) under uncultured bacterium. Its description in RNAcentral is "partial 16S ribosomal RNA". It matches the Rfam family "Bacterial small subunit ribosomal RNA", at positions 29 to 507 of the family's 1533-position model. The record is from RNAcentral.
AGCGAACGCUGGCGGCAGGCCUAACACAUGCAAGUCGAACGGAUCCUUCGGGAUUAGUGGCGGACGGGUGAGUAACACGUGGGAACGUGCCCUUUGGUUCGGAACAACUCAGGGAAACUUGAGCUAAUACCGGAUGUGCCCUUCGGGGGAAAGAUUUAUCGCCAUUGAAGCGGCCCGCGUCUGAUUAGCUAGUUGGUGAGGUAACGGCCCACCAAGGCGACGAUCAGUAGCUGGUCUGAGAGGAUGAUCAGCCACACUGGGACUGAGACACGGCCCAGACUCCUACGGGAGGCAGCAGUGGGGAAUCUUGCGCAAUGGGCGAAGGCCUGACGCAGCCAUGCCGCGUGAAUGAUGAAGGUCUUAGGAUUGUAAAAUUCUUUCAGCGGGGACGAUAAUGACGGUACCCGCAGAAGAAGCUCCGGCUAACUUCGUG